GAGUUUGAUCAUGGCUCAGAACGUACGCUGGCGGCACGCCUAACACAUGCAAGUCGAACGAAGUAGCAAUACUUAGUGGCAGACGGGUGAGUAACAUGUAGGUAUCUGCCCUUUGGCCUGGAAUAACACGAGGAAACUUGUGCUAAUACCGGAUAAGUCUUUACGGAGAAAGCUUUAUGCACCAUUGGAUGAGCCUGCACUUGAUUAGUUUGUUGGUGGGGUAAUGGCCUACCAAGACUGUGAUCAAUAGCUGAUUUGAGAGGAUGAUUAGCCACAUUGGGACUGAGACACGGCCCAAACUCCUACGGGAGGCAGCAGUGGGGAAUCUUGCACAAUGGAGGAAACUCUGAUGCAGCGAUGCCGCGUGAGUGAAGAAGGCCCUUGGGUUGUAAAGCUCUUUCGUCGGGGAAGAAAAUGACUGUACCCGAAUAAGAAGGUCCGGCUAACUUCGUGCCAGCAGCCGCGGUAAUACGAAGGGACCUAGCGUAGUUCGGAAUUACUGGGCUUAAAGAGUUCGUAGGUGGUUGAAAAAGUUAGUGGUGAAAUCCCAGAGCUUAACUCUGGAACUGCCAUUAAAACUUUUCAGCUAGAGCAUGAUAGAGGAAAGCAGAAUUUCUAGUGUAGAGGUGAAAUUCGUAGAUAUUAGAAAGAAUACCAAUUGCGAAGGCAGCUUUCUGGAUCAUUACUGACACUGAGGAACGAAAGCAUGGGUAGCGAAGAGGAUUAGAUACCCUCGUAGUCCAUGCCGUAAACGAUGUGUGUUAGACGUUGGAAAUUUAUUUUCAGUGUCGCAGGGAAACCGAUAAACACACCGCCUGGGGAGUACGACCGCAAGGUUAAAACUCAAAUGAAUUGACGGGGACCCGCACAAGUAGUGGAGCAUGUGGUUUAAUUCGAAGAUACGCGCAGAACCUUACCAACACUUGACAUGUUCGUCGCGACUCUAAGAGAUUAGAGUUUUCGGUUCGGCCGGACGAAACACAGGUGCUGCAUGGCUGUCGUCAGCUCGUGUCGUGAGAUGUUGGGUUAAGUCCCGCAACGAGCGCAACCCUCACUUUUAGUUGCCAUCAUUAAGUUGGGCACUCUGAAAGAACUGCCAGUGAUAAGCUGGAGGAAGGUGGGGAUGACGUCAAGUCCUCAUGGCCCUUACGUGUUGGGCUACACACGUGCUACAAUGGUAUCUACAACAGGAAGCAAAACUGCGAAGUUAAGCAAAUCCCUAAAAGAUACCUCAGUUCGGAUUGCACUCUGCAACUCGAGUGCAUGAAGCUGGAAUUACUAGUAAUCGUGGAUCAGCGUGCCACGGUGAAUGCGUUCCCGGGUCUUGUACACACCGCCCGUCACACCAUGGGAGUUGGUUCUACCUUAAGGCAAGGUUUUAAACCCUUGACCACGGUAUAGUCAGCGACUGGGGUGAAGUCGUAACAAGGUAACC
RNAcentral lists this ribosomal RNA (1435 nucleotides) under uncultured marine bacterium. RNAcentral describes it as "bacterial SSU rRNA". It matches the Rfam family "Bacterial small subunit ribosomal RNA". The record is from RNAcentral.